RNAcentral lists this ribosomal RNA (302 nucleotides) under uncultured bacterium. RNAcentral's name for it is "bacterial SSU rRNA". It matches the Rfam family "Bacterial small subunit ribosomal RNA", at positions 335 to 629 of the family's 1533-position model. The record is from RNAcentral.
ACUCCUACGGGAGGCAGCAGUGGGAAUAUUGCACAAUGGGCGCAAGCCUGAUGCAGCCAUGCCGCGUGUAUGAAGAAGGCCUUCGGGUUGUAAAGUACUUUCAGCAGUGAGGAGGUGGGUAUGUUAAUAGCAUACUUCAUUUGACGUUAGCUGACAGAAGAAGCACCGGCUAACUCCGUGCCAGCAGCCGCGGUAAUACGGAGGGUGCGAGCGUUAAUCGGAAUUACUGGGCGUAAAGCGCAUGCAGGUGGUUUGUUAAGUCAGAUGUGAAAGCCCGGGGCUCAACCUCGGAAUUGCAUUUG